UACGAAGGGGGCUAGCGUUGCUCGGAAUCACUGGGCGUAAAGCGCACGUAGGCGGACUCUUAAGUCGGUGGUGAAAUCCUGGAGCUCAACUCCAGAACUGCCUUCGAUACUGGGAGUCUCGAGUCCGAGAGAGGUGAGUGGAACUCCUAGUGUAGAGGUGGAAUUCGUAGAUAUUAGGAAGAACACCAGUGGCGAAGGCGGCUCACUGGUCCGGUACUGA
Molecule: ribosomal RNA, 220 nt
Filed under: uncultured bacterium
Lineage: Bacteria
Description: partial 16S ribosomal RNA
Rfam family: Bacterial small subunit ribosomal RNA
Source: RNAcentral